GGGGAUGUAGCUCAAUGGUAGAGCACUUGCCUACUAUUCAUAAGAUCCUGGAUUCCAUUGCCAACAGCCUUA
RNAcentral lists this transfer RNA (72 nucleotides) under Cavia porcellus (domestic guinea pig). It matches the Rfam family "tRNA". Rfam says of the family: Transfer RNA (tRNA) molecules are approximately 80 nucleotides in length. Their secondary structure includes four short double-helical elements and three loops (D, anti-codon, and T loops). Further hydrogen bonds mediate the characteristic L-shaped molecular structure. tRNAs have two regions of fundamental functional importance: the anti-codon, which is responsible for specific mRNA codon recognition, and the 3' end, to which the tRNAs corresponding amino acid is attached (by aminoacyl-tRNA synthetases). tRNAs cope with the degeneracy of the genetic code in two manners: having more than one tRNA (with a specific anti-codon) for a particular amino acid; and 'wobble' base-pairing, i.e. permitting non-standard base-pairing at the 3rd anti-codon position. The record is from Rfam by way of RNAcentral. Lineage: Eukaryota; Metazoa; Chordata; Mammalia; Rodentia; Caviidae.